Molecule: long non-coding RNA, 462 nt
Organism: Passer domesticus (house sparrow)
Lineage: Eukaryota; Metazoa; Chordata; Aves; Passeriformes; Passeridae
Exons: 4
Source: RefSeq, a predicted model, not a curated record
CUUGUCUGUCUGUGCCUCUGAGUCAUUACUUCACUAAGUCUUGUCUGGGAAAAGCUUAUUAUUUCCAAAACGAAGCCUCAGACCUUAGGUAUCUUGGAAAUGUAUGAAAAUAGUGAGGCAAAAGGAAAAUGACAACCAAAAAUUACAACAAUGUGUUGUUUGAAGAUUUCUGAAAAUAUAAGAGCUAAAAGCUGGGCUAAGUGCUGGCUGGAAUACAGGGAACUAAUUCCAGAGCUGACGUAAAUAAGCUCCCUCAAAGACAGUGAGACAACACCGAUUUACACAAAGCGUGGUUCGAGCCUGGGAAAUUCAGAUCCGUGCAGAAGCUUAGAUAAGAUACAUCUAGGCAAAUAUUUUAGUGCGAGGACUCUUCAUUCACCAGUCUCUAUAGCACCUCAAACAAGGCUGCCUGGCUGCUGAAAUGGAUCCUGUACUCUUCAUUUAUGCCAUAAUUUCACAUCG